UUGUUCGUGAAAAGGAGAGAUGGUUGGCUCCCCUGACAGGGACGGGAGUAGUCUUGGGACUUACCUGUUACACAUCCGGUUAAGGCUACCCACCCUUGUGGUGGAUCUUAUGCCCGAUUUUUUU
This is a small nuclear RNA of Argentina anserina (silverweed cinquefoil), 124 nucleotides long. The record is from RefSeq and is a predicted model, not a curated record. NCBI's taxonomy places the organism in Eukaryota, Viridiplantae, Streptophyta, Magnoliopsida, Rosales, Rosaceae.